CAGUAGCCACGGUAAUACGAAGGGUGCAAGCGUUACUCGGAAUUACUGGGCGUAAAGCGUGCGUAGGUGGUGGUUUAAGUCCGUUGUGAAAGCCCUGGGCUCAACCUGGGAAUUGCAGUGGAUACUGGGUCACUAGAGUGUGGUAGAGGAUAGUGGAAUUUCCGGUGUAGCAGUGAAAUGCGUAGAGAUCGGAAGGAACAUCUGUGGCGAAGGCGACUAUCUGGGCCAACACUGACGCUGAGGUACGAAAGCAUGGGGAGCAAACAGGAUUAGAUACCCGAGUAGUCCCUGUCUCUUAUAC
RNAcentral lists this ribosomal RNA (301 nucleotides) under uncultured bacterium. RNAcentral's name for it is "partial 16S ribosomal RNA". It matches the Rfam family "Bacterial small subunit ribosomal RNA", at positions 509 to 807 of the family's 1533-position model. The record is from RNAcentral.